CUAAUACAUGCAAGUCGAGCGAAUGACGAAGAAGCUUGCUUCUUCUGAUUUAGCGGCGGACGGGUGAGUAACACGUGGGCAACCUGCCCUGUAGAUUGGGAUAACUCCGGGAAACCGGGGCUAAUACCGAAUAAUCCAUUUCCUCUCAUGGGGAGAUGUUAAAAGACGGCAUCUCGCUGUCACUACAGGAUGGGCCCGCGGCGCAUUAGCUAGUUGGGGAGGUAACGGUUCACCAAGGCGACGAUGCGUAGCCGACCUGAGAGGGUGAUCGGCCACACUGGGACUGAGACACGGCCCAGACUCCUACGGGAGGCAGCAGUAGGGAAUCUUCCACAAUGGACGAAAGUCUGAUGGAGCAAUGCCGCGUGAGUGAAGAAGGUUUUCGGAUCGUAAAACUCUGUUGUGAGGGAAGAACAAGUAUGAGAGUAACUGCUCGUACCUUGACGGUACCUCAUUAGAAAGCCACGGUUAACUACGUGCCAGCAGCCGCGGUAAUACGUAGGUGGCAAGCGUUGUCCGGAAUUAUUGGGCGUAAAGCGCGCGCAGGCGGUCCUUUAAGUCUGAUGUGAAAUCCCACGGCUCAACCGUGGAAGGUCAUUGGAAACUGGGGGACUUGAGUACAGAAGAGGAAAGCGGAAUUCCAAGUGUAGCGGUGAAA
RNAcentral lists this ribosomal RNA (658 nucleotides) under Bacillus sp. LKS-104. RNAcentral describes it as "bacterial SSU rRNA". It matches the Rfam family "Bacterial small subunit ribosomal RNA", at positions 48 to 686 of the family's 1533-position model. The record is from RNAcentral. Lineage: Bacteria; Bacillati; Bacillota; Bacilli; Caryophanales; Bacillaceae.